GGUGUCUUACUUUAAUUAAAAAGUUUUGUGUUGCUUACAGAGAAUAGUGAGAGGUUUUACUAGGCACUA
Molecule: transfer RNA, 69 nt
Filed under: Cardita variegata
Lineage: Eukaryota; Metazoa; Mollusca; Bivalvia; Carditida; Carditidae
Description: tRNA-Ala
Source: RNAcentral